This is a long non-coding RNA of Setaria italica (foxtail millet), 900 nucleotides long. RefSeq lists it as uncharacterized. The record is from RefSeq and is a predicted model, not a curated record. The transcript is spliced from 3 exons. Lineage: Eukaryota; Viridiplantae; Streptophyta; Magnoliopsida; Poales; Poaceae.
UAGUGCAAUUAUCCAUGUGAUCUAAAUUCUUCGCCCUCUUUUAUCCUGUUCCCCUCGGUCUUCAGUCUCUCCACUCCACACCCCCCGAUUUCUCCCUCGUCAAAUCUGCCAGCUUGCUACUUGGAGUAAGGAAAGGAGGGAUGGAGGUCAAAGUUACAUGGCUUACAAGAGAACACCCAGUACCUCCCCUUCUGCUGGCAUUCAUCACAGACAUAGGCCUUAGCCAUGUCCAACUCAAGCUCAUGCCUGUGUCGUGGAUUGUUCACUCGGCGUGGCAGCUUGUCUCCUUCCUUCCUGAGUGCUUCAUUCACCUCAGAAACUCUAGAUUCUGUGAAUGGGAAUGCUGUUGCACCCCAAGAAGCUCCUGAAGCUUACCUCCUUGUCUCCUGGCAUCAUCUAUGGCCUCCAGCUCCCCUCGCCUCUUUACACUGAAGGGGUAUGCUUCUGCUCCGUACUCCUCAACCAGCUUCACUGCAUCCUCUUCGAAUCCUAACUCACCAGAUGGUGUUACUGACAAAGGAAUCAAUGCGGGGAUGUGCUCAAUUCCAAAAUGGCUGCACAACUUUCUCCUUAGGCUGGAGUUGAAUGGCAGAGCGAGCCAUGGCAUGCUUUUGAAGUGAUCCAAGAAGCUGGUCUCGUCAUGAUCAAGUGAUAUGAAGAUAAUUUCGAUAUUCUUGCCAGUAUUGCGGAGCAUUGUGUAGAUUUGGACUAGCUUUGGGGUGAAGUUCCUGCAUGGCCUGCACCAGUGAGCUGAGAAGAAGAGGCAGGUCACCUUCCCUUCAAUGGAGGACAGAGGUACUUCCUGCUUUUUCACAAAUGAUAUCAAAUUCUUUCAGUCAGACAUAUUUGGUAAAACAAGAAGUAUUUUUCUUUUGAGAACAAGCGCAGCAAAAUUGAACA